AUGGGCGUAGCACAGUGGUAGUGCAGCGGUCUCCAAAGCCGCCCGCGGAGGUUCGAUUCCUCCCGCCUGUG
Molecule: transfer RNA, 71 nt
Filed under: Streptomyces sp. CB03911
Lineage: Bacteria; Bacillati; Actinomycetota; Actinomycetes; Kitasatosporales; Streptomycetaceae
Description: tRNA-Trp
Rfam family: tRNA
About the family: Transfer RNA (tRNA) molecules are approximately 80 nucleotides in length. Their secondary structure includes four short double-helical elements and three loops (D, anti-codon, and T loops).
Source: RNAcentral